Molecule: ribosomal RNA, 253 nt
Filed under: uncultured bacterium
Lineage: Bacteria
Description: partial 16S ribosomal RNA
Rfam family: Bacterial small subunit ribosomal RNA
Source: RNAcentral
UACAUAGGGGGCAAGCGUUAUCCGGAAUUACUGGGUGUAAAGGGUGCGUAGGCGGCUAAGCAAGUCAGGUGUGAAAGCCCGAGGCUCAACUUCGGGACUGCACUUGAAACUGUUUGGCUAGAGUACAGGAGAGGUAAGCGGAAUUCCUAGUGUAGCGGUGAAAUGCGUAGAUAUUAGGAAGAACACCAGUGGCGAAGGCGGCUUACUGGACUGAAACUGACGCUGAGGCACGAAAGCGUGGGGAGCGAACAGG